This 941-nucleotide ribosomal RNA is filed under the name uncultured bacterium. Its description in RNAcentral is "bacterial SSU rRNA". It matches the Rfam family "Bacterial small subunit ribosomal RNA", at positions 8 to 966 of the family's 1533-position model. The record is from RNAcentral.
AGAGUUUGAUCCUGGCUCAGGACGAACGCUGGCGGCGCGCUUAACACAUGCAAGUCGUGCGGUACCGAUGGCAAGUCUUCUUGACGAGCCUUCGGUAUAGCGGCGGACGGGUGAGUAACACGUGAGUAGCUGUCCUAGGGAGGGGGAUAACGCCUGGAAACGGGUGCUAAAACCCCAUAAGCCUCGAAAGAGGUAAAAGUGCAUCACUGCAGUCCUAGGGUGUGCUCGCGGCCUAUCAGCUAGUUGGUGAGGUAAGGGCUCACCAAGGCCAAGACGGGUAGCCGGCCUGAGAGGGUGUACGGCCACACUGGAAUUGAGAUACGGUCCAGACUCCUACGGGAGGCAGCAGUGGGGAAUUUUGGGCAAUGGGCGAAAGCCUGACCCAGCGACGCCGCGUUGGGGAUGAAGUCCCUCGGGGCGUAAACCCAUGUUGUAGGGGAAGAAGAAAGUGACGGUACCCUACGAGAAAGCCCCGGCCAACUACGUGCCAGCAGCCGCGGUAAAACGUAGGGGGCGAGCGUUGUCCGGAAUUACUGGGCGUAAAGGGCAUGCAGGCGGUGCGCCAAGUCGGGGGUGUAAAGUUACGGCUCAACCGUGACCUUGCAAUCGAAACUGGCGCACUGGAGUGCGGGAGAGGGAAGUGGAAUUCCCGGUGUAGCGGUGAAAUGCGUAGAUAUCGGGAGGAACGCCAGUGGCGAANGCGGCUUCCUGGCCCGCGACUGACGCUCAUGUGCGAAAGCCAGGGGAGCGAACCGGAUUAGAUACCCGGGUAGUCCUGGCCGUAAACGAUGGGUGCUAGGUGUAGGCGCGUCAAGCGUCUGUGCCGAAGUUAACGCGAUAAGCACCUCGCCUGGGGAGUACGGUCGCAAGGCUGAAACUCAAGGAAUUGACGGGGCCCGCACAAGCGGUGGAGCACGUGGUUUAAUUCGAUGCAACCGAGA